Molecule: ribosomal RNA, 652 nt
Filed under: Brevundimonas naejangsanensis
Lineage: Bacteria; Pseudomonadati; Pseudomonadota; Alphaproteobacteria; Caulobacterales; Caulobacteraceae
Description: bacterial SSU rRNA
Rfam family: Bacterial small subunit ribosomal RNA
Source: RNAcentral
UGCCGUAGCUAACGCAUUAAGUACCCCGCCUGGGGAGUACGGCCGCAAGGCUAAAACUCAAAGGAAUUGACGGGGCCCCGCACAAGCGGCGGAGCAUGCGGAUUAAUUCGAUGCAACGCGAAGAACCUUACCAAGGCUUGACAUACACCGGAAGCAGCCAGAAAUGGUUGUGUCUUCGGACUGGUGUACAGGUGGUGCAUGGUUGUCGUCAGCUCGUGUCGUGAGAUGUUGGGUUAAGUCCCGCAACGAGCGCAACCCUCGCCAUUAGUUGCCAUCAUUUAGUUGGGAACUCUAAUGGGACUGCCGGUGCUAAGCCGGAGGAAGGUGGGGAUGACGUCAAGUCCUCAUGGCCCUUACAGGGUGGGCUACACACGUGCUACAAUGGCGACUACAGAGGGUUAAUCCUUAAAAGUCGUCUCAGUUCGGAUUGUCCUCUGCAACUCGAGGGCAUGAAGUUGGAAUCGCUAGUAAUCGCGGAUCAGCAUGCCGCGGUGAAUACGUUCCCGGGCCUUGUACACACCGCCCGUCACACCAUGGGAGUUGGUUCUACCCGAAGGCGGUGCGCUAACCAGCAAUGGAGGCAGCCGACCACGGUAGGGUCAGCGACUGGGGUGAAGUCGUAACAAGGUAGCCGUAGGGGAACCUGCGGCUG